Molecule: non-coding RNA, 42 nt
Filed under: Trypanosoma brucei brucei
Lineage: Eukaryota; Euglenozoa; Kinetoplastea; Trypanosomatida; Trypanosomatidae
Source: RNAcentral
AAAUCAACAAAACUGAUAUCCUCUGUAGUAGAUAGUGAUAUU